AUAGACUGCCAGAGUAAGAAAUUACUUAAUCCAACUGCCCCCCUCAUUUUAUAGGGGAGAACUAAGAGAAGAUAAUGACUUGUCCUUGGAGACACAGGAAAUGAGUGACAGGGUGAAAUACUACUGAAGGACACUGGAACUAGAAAGAAGGCUUUUAAAGAAAGCAGCGCUUCAUUUUCUACUUAAUAAUGUUGUG
Molecule: long non-coding RNA, 196 nt
Filed under: Monodelphis domestica (gray short-tailed opossum)
Lineage: Eukaryota; Metazoa; Chordata; Mammalia; Didelphimorphia; Didelphidae
Description: lncRNA (ENSMODG00000050545.1)
Source: RNAcentral